GGGGAUUUAGCUCAGCGGCAUAAGCGCCUGCCUUGCAAGCAGGCAGUCAUGAGGUUUGAUCCCCG
Molecule: transfer RNA, 65 nt
Filed under: Cavia porcellus (domestic guinea pig)
Lineage: Eukaryota; Metazoa; Chordata; Mammalia; Rodentia; Caviidae
Rfam family: tRNA
About the family: Transfer RNA (tRNA) molecules are approximately 80 nucleotides in length.
Source: Rfam by way of RNAcentral